RNAcentral lists this ribosomal RNA (253 nucleotides) under uncultured bacterium. Its description in RNAcentral is "partial 16S ribosomal RNA". It matches the Rfam family "Bacterial small subunit ribosomal RNA", at positions 524 to 776 of the family's 1533-position model. The record is from RNAcentral.
UACAGAGGUCUCGAGCGUUAGGCGGAAUCACUGGGCUUAAAGCGUGUGUAGGCGGACGCCUAAGUGUCUUGUGAAAUCCCUCGGCUCAACCGAGGAACUGCGCCCAAUACUACCGUGCUCGAGGGAGAUAGAGGUGAGCGGAACUUAGGGUGGAGCGGUGAAAUGCGUUGAUAUCCUAAGGAACACCGGUGGCGAAAGCGGCUCACUGGAUCUCUUCUGACGCUGAGGCACGAAAGCUAGGGUAGCGAACGGG